Aedes aegypti (yellow fever mosquito) is the source of this 496-nucleotide long non-coding RNA. RefSeq lists it as uncharacterized. NCBI's taxonomy places the organism in Eukaryota, Metazoa, Arthropoda, Insecta, Diptera, Culicidae. The transcript is spliced from 4 exons. The record is from RefSeq and is a predicted model, not a curated record.
ACGGCCAUUCAUCUCUAGUGGGCUUCAUUCAGCUUUAACACUGCACCUGAUUAAACGACUGAUUACAAUCAGGACAGCUGCCGAUAAUGAAGGCUAGUAGACGUCCUUCUGUCUCACUACCCACAAUGGGAAUCUUCUUACAAUCACUGCCUCCGCAGCAUUGAGAAAAGACGUCGAAGAGGUCAAGCAUCCGAAGAGCAUCGCGUACGAAGACUGAAUGAAAUAGUGGCUCUAGAAGAACUAUUAACAGAGGAACUCUGUCCGUGCUGAGACGAACUUCCCUGGAUUCGAGUUAUGUAACACCCACAUGAUUUCACUUUCGGUGUUUCAACUCCACUGUGACGAAAAUGCGCAUCAUAUCAAUCACCACUUCUGAAUGGGUGUUGUCACGCAACGUAAUUUGCCAAUGAAAUUUGAAAUUAAAAAGAACUAAUUACGAGCUAAAAGUAUCACAGUGCAAAAUUUGAUAACCUAGUAAAUUGAAAAUGCCUAAAAA